Molecule: non-coding RNA, 72 nt
Organism: Araneus ventricosus
Lineage: Eukaryota; Metazoa; Arthropoda; Arachnida; Araneae; Araneidae
Source: the annotation of a GenBank genome assembly
GGUUCCGUGCUGCAAUGGUUAGCACUCAGGACAAUAAAUCCAGCGAUCCGAGUUCAAAUUUUGGUGGAACCG